CAGCGCCAGACCGACCGACUUCCACAGGAUGGAACGCAUCGGCGGCGACAGGAUCUGGGACAACGCCUUGAGCGCGGCGUCGAGCAUGGGCAACCCUCCGAAAGAACCCCAAGAAAACCAGACCCAGUUAGAUACGGCAAAUGGGUUCGGCAAGUGGCGGGAUCGGCAGGCGGCGUUCUCACGCGGAAAUUUUUUAGUUAAGCUGUCAUUCCGGACAGCCGCAUCGCGGCUGAUCCGGAAUCCAGAAGGGUUCAUCGGAAAUAAUUUAGGGAUUCCGG
RNAcentral lists this unclassified non-coding RNA (278 nucleotides) under Hevea brasiliensis (rubber tree). Lineage: Eukaryota; Viridiplantae; Streptophyta; Magnoliopsida; Malpighiales; Euphorbiaceae. The record is from RNAcentral.